This 282-nucleotide long non-coding RNA is filed under the name Cicer arietinum (chickpea). RNAcentral's name for it is "long non-coding RNA (CARI_LNC003417)". The record is from RNAcentral. Lineage: Eukaryota; Viridiplantae; Streptophyta; Magnoliopsida; Fabales; Fabaceae.
CACACCUCAACAAUUUUUUAAAUCGUUUGUCAAGUUGAAAAAUCAUAAUACGUAAGAAGUUAUCCUAUCAAACAUCAUAAGGUUUAAUACUUAUAUACAUUUGAAGGCAAUGGUCACGUGUCUGGUCCUGUAUUAUAGGAAAAGAGAACCAUCUUAGCAUUUGACAGCUUUAAACAAGCAUUUUGGAGAUGUGUGAUGAAACAAACAUAUUAAAAGUUUUCAAGAAUAAUUUUAACCAGAUCCUCGUUAUUCGAGUGCGACUUAGAUCUCAAUAUUUUCCUA